UAGUGAGUUUGAUCCUGGCUCAGAACGUAACGACUGGCGGCGAAGGCUUAACUACAUGCAAGUCGAACGGGCGUAGCAAUACGGUCUAGUGGCAGACGGGUGAGUAACGACGUGGGAACGUCCCCCUCGGUUCGGAAUAACUCAGGGAAACUUGAGCUAAUACCGGAUACGUCCGAGAGGAGAAAGAUUUAUCGCCGAGGGAUCGGCCCGCGUCUGAUUAGCUAGUUGGUGAGGUAACGGCUCACCAAGGCGACGAUCAGUAGCUGGUCUGAGAGGAUGAUCAGCCACACUGGGACUGAGACACGGCCCAGACUCCGUACGGGGAGGCAGCAGUGGGGAAUAUUGGACAAUGGGCGCAAGCCUGAUCCAGCCAUGCCGCGUGAGUGAU
Molecule: ribosomal RNA, 388 nt
Filed under: uncultured Hyphomicrobiales bacterium
Lineage: Bacteria; Pseudomonadati; Pseudomonadota; Alphaproteobacteria; Hyphomicrobiales
Description: bacterial SSU rRNA
Rfam family: Bacterial small subunit ribosomal RNA
Source: RNAcentral